This 408-nucleotide ribosomal RNA is filed under the name uncultured bacterium. Its description in RNAcentral is "partial 16S ribosomal RNA". It matches the Rfam family "Bacterial small subunit ribosomal RNA", at positions 28 to 526 of the family's 1533-position model. The record is from RNAcentral.
GACGAACGCUGGCGGCGUGCCUAAUACAUGCAAGUCGAGCGAAGCGGCGGAUGGGUGAGUAACGCGUGGGUAACCUGCGCGUAAGUCUGGGAUACCAUAUGGAAACAGAUGCUAAUACCGGAUACUAAAGGAUGGACCUGCGAUGCAUUAGCUAGGUGGUAAGGUAACGGCUUACCAAGGGGAUGAUGCAUAGCCUAGUGUAGAGACUGAGCGGCCACAUUGGGGCGGAGACACGGCCCAAACUCCUACGGGAGGCAGCAGUAGGGAAUCUUCCACAGUGGACGAAAGGCUGAUGUAGCAACUCCGCGUGAGUGAAGAGAGUUUUCGGAUCGUAAAGCUCUGUUGUUGUUGUAGCUGUAAUCAACCAGAAAGUCACGGCUAACUACGUGCCAGCAGCCGCGGUAAUUC